UACAUGGGGUGCAAACGUUGCUCGGAAUUAUUGGGCGUAAAGCGCACGUAGGCGGUUCGUUAAGUCGGAUGUGAAAGCCCUCGGCUCAACUGAGGAAGUGCACCCGAAACUGGCGAGCUUGAGUACGAAAAGAGGAUCGCGGAAUUCCCGGUGUAGAGGUGAAAUUCGUAGAUAUCGGGAGGAACACCGGUGGCGAAGGCGGCGAUCUGGGUCGAUACUGACGCUGAGGUGCGAAAAGCGUGGGGGAGCAAACAGG
RNAcentral lists this ribosomal RNA (256 nucleotides) under uncultured bacterium. RNAcentral's name for it is "partial 16S ribosomal RNA". It matches the Rfam family "Bacterial small subunit ribosomal RNA", at positions 524 to 776 of the family's 1533-position model. The record is from RNAcentral.